CCGCAAACCGACACUGGUGCGCGAGAUGAGUAUUCUAAGGCGCUUGAGAGAACUCGGGAGAAGGAACUCGGCAAAUUGACACCGUAACUUCGGAAGAAGGUGUGCCCUUAGUAGGUGAAGUCCCUCGCGGAUGGAGCCCAAUGGGGUUGCAAAAAAUCGGUGGCUGCGACUGUUUAUUAAAAACACAGCACUCUGCAAACACGAAAGUGGACGUAUAGGGUGUGACGCCUGCCCGGUGCUGGAAGAUUAAAUGAUGGGGUGCAAGCUCUUGAUUGAAGUCCCAGUAAACGGCGGCCGUAACUAUAACGGUCCUAAGGUAGCGAAAUUCCUUGUCGGGUAAGUUCCGACCUGCACGAAUGGCGUAACGAUGGCCACACUGUCUCCUCCUGAGACUCAGCGAAGUUGAAAUGUUUGUGAUGAUGCAAUCUCCCCGCGGAAAGACGGAAAGACCCCAUGAACCUUUACUGUAGCUUUGUAUUGGACUUUGAACAGAUCUGUGUAGGAUAGGUGGGAGGCUUUGAAGCUGGGACGCUAGUUCCGGUGGAGCCAACGUUGAAAUACCACCCUGGUGUGUUUGAGGUUCUAACCUAGGUCCAUUAUCUGGAUCGGGGACAGUGCAUGGUAGGCAGUUUGACUGGGGCGGUCUCCUCCCAAAGCGUAACGGAGGAGUUCGAAGGUACGCUAGUUACGGUCGGACAUCGUGACGAUAGUGCAAUGGCAUAAGCGUGCUUAACUGCGAGACUGACAAGUCGAGCAGAUGCGAAAGCAGGACAUAGUGAUCCGGUGGUUCUGUAUGGAAGGGCCAUCGCUCAACGGAUAAAAGGUACUCUGGGGAUAACAGGCUGAUACCGCCCAAGAGUUCAUAUCGACGGCGGUGUUUGGCACCUCGAUGUCGGCUCAUCUCAUCCUGGGGCUGAAGUCGGUCCCAAGGGUAUGGCUGUUCGCCAUUUAAAGAGGUACGUGAGCUGGGUUUAAAACGUCGUGAGACAGUUUGGUCCCUAUCUUCCGUGGGCGCUGCAGAAUUGAGGAAGCCUGCUCCUAGUACGAGAGGACCGGAGUGGACACACCUCUGGUGUACCGGUUGUCACGCCAGUGGCAUCGCCGGGUAGCUA
RNAcentral lists this ribosomal RNA (1112 nucleotides) under wastewater metagenome. RNAcentral's name for it is "bacterial LSU rRNA". It matches the Rfam family "Bacterial large subunit ribosomal RNA", at positions 1647 to 2751 of the family's 2925-position model. The record is from RNAcentral.